This 752-nucleotide unclassified non-coding RNA is filed under the name Hevea brasiliensis (rubber tree). The record is from RNAcentral. Lineage: Eukaryota; Viridiplantae; Streptophyta; Magnoliopsida; Malpighiales; Euphorbiaceae.
GGAAUGCAACCAAGAUGUGUGCAGACGCCAAUCACAAUAAGCCAUUCUGGGUCCUUAACUCUCUCACCAUCCUGCUGUGGGUCACGAAGAGAUCCGACAUCGACACUAUUUGCUAACUUAAUAUCUUCCUCUGUUCGUCUUCUGAUGAAUACUGGUUUUCCACGCCACUUAACCGUCACAGUAGCACCAGGCUCAAUGCUUGAGAGGUCAACCUCAAGUGAGGCAAGGGCAAGAACGUCCUUACUGGCAGACAUGCUAAGAACAAACUUGAGAACAAGGAGACGGAUCAAAGAAGCAUAGACAAACCGACCACCUGACAAGACAAAAUAAGCAAAUGCCCGCUUGCUGGGGUCACCAGGAGGAAAUCGCUCAUGAUUGUAGUCGUCAUAGACUAUCUUUGAAGAAGGGUUCUUAAUGGCAGCUACAGUUGCAGGAAUAUCCAGAAUUAAGCCAUCAUCCUUGGUUGAGGUCAAUGCAUCAGAAGCAAAACCUCUACAGUUACGAUCAAAGUGGGGUCCAAAAGGGAAGGUGUUGAAGGAUCUGAAAUCAUUGGAAGGGGCGGAAUCAGAACCAUCGAUGAUCUUGUGAGAACUGGGCAAAGAAGAGGCAAUAGUGGGCCUGAAAUGCGAAGAAGAGAGUGACGAGAGCCUUCGAGCUGCAAUCCUCAACAUCUUCGUCAACCUUCAGGUUUUCGAUUUGGAGGGAUAUUGAGAAACUCAGAAGAAGGCGAUAGAAGAAGAAGAAGAAGAAGA